RNAcentral lists this long non-coding RNA (1593 nucleotides) under Homo sapiens (human). RNAcentral's name for it is "HSALNT0328043". The record is from RNAcentral. Lineage: Eukaryota; Metazoa; Chordata; Mammalia; Primates; Hominidae.
ACUUGGAAAUAAAAGAUCAUGAGAAUAAAGUGGACAACUUUUAAAAGGUUUAUGAGGGCUUUACAUAAUUGUUGUUUGUUUUUUUUUUUUUUGAGAUGGAGUUUUGCUCGUUACCCAAGCUGGAGUGCAAUGGCGCAAUCUUGGCCCACUGCAACCUCCACCUCCUGGGUUCAAGUGAUUCUCCUGCCUGAGCCUCCCGAGUAGCUGGGAUUACAGGCACGUGCCACCACACCUGACUAAUUUUGUGUAUUUUUAGUAGAGACGGUGUUUCACCAUUUUGGUCAGGCUGGUCUUGAACUCCUAACCGCAGGUGAUCCACCCACCUUGGCCUCCCAAAGUGCUGGGAUUAUGGGUGUGAGCCACCACGCCUGGCCUACAUAAUUAUUUUAAUGAACCUCUCAGUUCAUCACAUUAAUGCAGGGUCUGUCAUAGAAAACAUUUUUUCUAAUUCUUGAAACUGAAGUUUGUAUAAUUCCAACCAGUGUGGAAAUCUAUCUUGCGAUAACCAGAAAUAUUCCUCCACCAUGAGGUCCAAAAUAAAGUUGAAAGUAGCUGAUAUGGGACCACAGAAUAUUGGCCAAUCAGUGUUUUACAUAAUGUCUGUGGAGUGGCCAUGUGCUCUAGAAGAGUGAGACAACCUUGGCAUAACCUUCUUUAAGAGCCAAUCACAUAACACUGUGAAUAUUUAUAAAAUUUUAGACCAUUACCUGUUUCAGCUCCCUUUGAUGAUUCAUGCUAAGGGUAGAGAACCAGAAGAUGUUCUCAGAUGCAAAUGCAUUUCUGGAAAAAAAAUAUAUGUGAGAUGUUUCUUUGAAUGACACAGGAGGACAAUUUAAAAAUCUGUCCUGGAAUCUCUCAAAUUAGUAUCUGAGACCGGAUCCUUGAGAAUUAGAAAGGUCCAUGAGAAUUGUUUUUUGUAUAUUAUCCCUCAUUUUGAUGAUUGUAAUGACUAUACUUAUACCUAAACAAGUAAUAAAUAAAUGCAUUUGGCUUCCUUACCUUGAGUAUUGAAUCAACAUUUGAAAACAAAGUAAUCAACCUUUGGCAAUUUGUCCUUCAGAGAGAGAAAAACUCCCUUAGAAACCCAUAUUAAAAGAAACGUGCACAUGUAUCCCAGAACUUAAAGUAAAAUAAAAAAUAAAAGAAAAGAAAAGAAACAUGGGGAAAAAGGAGCAAGAGGAAGUUGAGAAGAAAAUUCAAGAAGGUGGUGCUACAAGGGCUUCUCAAUUUUGUACUUUUUCCUUUCAACAUUUUCUCUCCUGGACCCAAGAAACAUCAAAGGACUUUGUAUUCUCCAGUGAAUGAAGGAUAAAAAUUAGACAUGGAGACACUUGGUUUGGCAGAGCAGGGAUCCAAGCUAGAUAAAUUACAUUCCAGAAGUGGGAUUUCAGAUAACAUUCAGCGUGGAGUGCAGGAGUUGAAAUGGUGAGGGUAAACAAGGAGACAAGUUCAAAGAUGACAAGCCUGAAGACCGUGAGUUAAGAUCAUAGAGCCACAGACCAGAAGCAGCCUGCAUCCCUGAAUCCCAGUACGGAAUAAAGUGUCACCUGAACUGCUUCAGACUUUGUGGGAAUGAGAAACAAACCUUCCUUU